Telopea speciosissima is the source of this 100-nucleotide long non-coding RNA. RefSeq lists it as uncharacterized. The transcript has 3 exons. The record is from RefSeq and is a predicted model, not a curated record. NCBI's taxonomy places the organism in Eukaryota, Viridiplantae, Streptophyta, Magnoliopsida, Proteales, Proteaceae.
AUGGUGAUGCUUAUUACAUGCUUCAAGGACUGGUAUCUAUUCUCAGGGUCCACAUCAGCUAAUGCAGAUUUCAAGUCAAUGGAUUUUUUUUAAUCAAGAU